Molecule: ribosomal RNA, 965 nt
Filed under: uncultured cyanobacterium
Lineage: Bacteria; Bacillati; Cyanobacteriota
Description: bacterial SSU rRNA
Rfam family: Bacterial small subunit ribosomal RNA
Source: RNAcentral
GGAGUUAGUGGCGGACGGGUGAGUAACGCGUGAGAAUCUGGCUUCUGGUUCGGGAUAACAGUGGGAAACGACUGCUAAUACCGGAUGUGCCUGCGGGUAAAAGGCUUGCUGCCAGAAGAUGAGCUCGCGUCUGAUUAGCUAGUUGGUGGGGUAAGAGCCUACCAAGGCGACGAUCAGUAGCUGGUCUGAGAGGAUGAUCAGCCACACUGGGACUGAGACACGGCCCAGACUCCUACGGGAGGCAGCAGUGGGGAAUUUUCCGCAAUGGGCGAAAGCCUGACGGAGCAAUACCGCCGUGAGGGGAAGAAGGCUCUUGGGUUGUAAACCUCUUUUCUCAGGGAAUAAGAAAGUGAAGGUACCUGAGAAUCACAUCGGCUAACUCCGUGCCAGCAGCCGCGGUAAUACGGAGGAUGCAAGCGUUAUCCGGGAAUGGAGUCUGUGGGCCGUAAAAGGCGUCCGCAGGUGGUUAUUCAAGUCUGCCGUUAAAGAGUCUGGCUUAACCAGAUAAAGGCGGUGGAAACUGAAAGACUAGAGUGCGGUAGGGGCAGAGGGAAUCCCAGUGUAGCGGUGAAAUGCGUAGAGAUUGGGAAGAACACCGGUGGCGAAAGCGCUCUGCUAGGCCGCAACUGACACUCAGGGACGAAAGCUAGGGGAGCGAAUGGGAUUAGAUACCCCAGUAGUCCUAGCCGUAAACGAUGGAUACUAGGCGUUGUCUGUAUCGACCCGGACAGUGCCGUAGCCAACGCGUUAAGUAUCCCGCCUGGGGAGUACGCACGCAAGUGUGAAACUCAAAGGAAUUGACGGGGGCCCGCACAAGCCGUGGAGUAUGUGGUUUAAUUCGAUGCAACGCGAAGAACCUUACCAGGGCUUGACAUGUCGCGAAUCUGGGUGAAAGCUCAGAGUGCCUUCGGGAGCGCGAACACAGGUGGUGCAUGGCUGUCGUCAGCUCUGUCGUGAGAUGUGGG